CCGGGUUGGUGAACAUGUGCAGAUUCAGGGAGAGUGGUGUGCGUGAAGAGAGGAUAAGGGAAACUCCGAGACUCUUCCCCAUACUCUGCCCUAUGCGUCACUUCCAUCGGCUGUUAUCUUAUACAGAGACCCAGGGACACUGAGGAUAAAAACAUGUUCAUAGUGAGAGAGGGAAAGAACUAAUGUGAUGGACCACUGGAUAGAAUUUCAAAUGACAGAAAUUGCUUAAAAGAAUAAAUAUAAUUGAACCUAAAAUAAUAUUUAAGAUAUUCUACCACUGAACUGUAUUGAAGAGGAAAAGGAAAUAAGAACAUAAUUAACUAUUAAUUAAAUGUUUUAUUUAAUCCUCACAUUAAGACUCUGAGGUUGAUUGUAUUGUUUUCAUUUCAUAAAUGAGGAAAAUUGGGCACAGAGACUGUAAGCUUAAACCAUCUACAUAUUCAGGGCCAAGUCCAGGAAUUGAACCCACAUACACCUGGCUUGAAAGCCAGAGCUCUUGUUCCCAAUCAUUUUGUUACGUUGUGUUUAAUGAAACUCUUUCAGUCAUUUGAAUGCAAGUUAUCUGCCUCAAA
Long non-coding RNA from Sus scrofa (pig), 572 nucleotides. RefSeq lists it as uncharacterized. The record is from RefSeq and is a predicted model, not a curated record. NCBI's taxonomy places the organism in Eukaryota, Metazoa, Chordata, Mammalia, Artiodactyla, Suidae.